ACUCCUACGGGAGGCAGCAGUGGGGAAUAUUGCACAAUGGGCGCAAGCCUGAUGCAGCCAUGCCGCGUGUGUGAAGAAGGCCUUCGGGUUGUAAAGCACUUUCAGUAGGGAGGAAGGUAGUGUAGUUAACACCUGCAUUAUUUGACGUUACCUACAGAAGAAGCACCGGCUAACUCCGUGCCAGCAGCCGCGGUAAUACGGAGGGUGCGAGCGUUAAUCGGAAUUACUGGGCGUAAAGCGCAUGCAGGCGGCCUGUUAAGUCAGAAGUGAAAGCCCGGGGCUCAACCUCGGAAUUGCAUUUGAAACUGGCAGACUAGAGUACUGUAGAGGGGGGUAGAAUUUCAGGUGUAGCGGUGAAAUGCGUAGAGAUCUGAAGGAAUACCGGUGGCGAAGGCGGCCCCCUGGACAGAUACUGACACUCAGAUGCGAAAGCGUGGGGAGCAAACGAGGAUUAGAUACCCUGGUAGCACAGAG
This 474-nucleotide ribosomal RNA is filed under the name uncultured bacterium. Its description in RNAcentral is "bacterial SSU rRNA". It matches the Rfam family "Bacterial small subunit ribosomal RNA", at positions 335 to 799 of the family's 1533-position model. The record is from RNAcentral.